RNAcentral lists this ribosomal RNA (396 nucleotides) under Aeromonas sp. RNAcentral's name for it is "bacterial SSU rRNA". It matches the Rfam family "Bacterial small subunit ribosomal RNA", at positions 63 to 453 of the family's 1533-position model. The record is from RNAcentral. Lineage: Bacteria; Pseudomonadati; Pseudomonadota; Gammaproteobacteria; Aeromonadales; Aeromonadaceae.
CGAGCGGCAGCGGGAAAGUAGCUUGCUACUUUUGCCGGCGAGCGGCGGACGGGUGAGUAAUGCCUGGGGAUCUGCCCAGUCGAGGGGGAUAACUACUGGAAACGGUAGCUAAUACCGCAUACGCCCUACGGGGGAAAGCAGGGGACCUUCGGGCCUUGCGCGAUUGGAUGAACCCAGGUGGGAUUAGCUAGUUGGUGAGGUAAUGGCUCACCAAGGCGACGAUCCCUAGCUGGUCUGAGAGGAUGAUCAGCCACACUGGAACUGAGACACGGUCCAGACUCCUACGGGAGGCAGCAGUGGGGAAUAUUGCACAAUGGGGGAAACCCUGAUGCAGCCAUGCCGCGUGUGUGAAGAAGGCCUUCGGGUUGUAAAGCACUUUCAGCGAGGAGGAAAGGU